RNAcentral lists this long non-coding RNA (436 nucleotides) under Homo sapiens (human). RNAcentral describes it as "non-protein coding lnc-COMMD10-14:1". Lineage: Eukaryota; Metazoa; Chordata; Mammalia; Primates; Hominidae. The record is from RNAcentral.
GUUGCCUCAAGACCUGAAAAUGAAUGAGCAUCAUCCCUUAAAGUGUUAACACGGAAGCAUUAAUAAACCAAGAACAAUGAGAUAAAUCCUGUUUGCACAUCAUUUCCACUGCGUCACUCUUCCUUGUCUACAUUCUGAAGAAAUCGCACUGAAAACAUAUCUAAAUAUUCAUACUCUUUUUGAGCUUAAAUUUCAGUGGCCAAUUUCAUACUAUAUUGGAAAGUUUUGUCUAAUAAGAGCCUGACCUGUGUAUCCUGUAUAGAUUUUCGCCAGCAGAGGGUAUUGUCCUGAGUGCCAGCAUUUUGGGGGAUGGUGAACUGUAUCAGCUGAGGAGCUAUAGUCUAUCAGUUAGGAGCAUUAUUCCUUUGUCUUGGAUAUACUUAUGUUCAAAAGCAAUUUCUUCUCCCUCAAGAACUCAUUAAAUGUAUUCACCAAA